GUUGGUAUUAACUGUGCUGCAGUUUGUGGGUAGGAGUGUAUGAAGUCCGUUUGUGGGUGAAUUCGUCUUACUCAGGUGUUCACGAAUCUGUGCCUCCCGGAUGCUGUGCCAAGACAGCACCACAUCUCCUCCUACUUGGCUACCGACGUGUUGAACGGCUCGCUUACUCAACGCUGAUUGUGCCAGAUACCACCUCAAGGAUGACCUCUAAAAUAUCCCACCGCACCACUCGAAUUUCCCUCUCAGUUUGAAGGCCAGCUAAUCACCGGAACUUUCGAGUGUCAUUAAGGUUUUCUAAAAAUCAAAAAUUCCUGAACUUGAAAUAAAAAAAUAGGUUCGUGGUAUUUGCCCGAAUUUAGAGCGUCUUUGAAUAUAACACGGAUCUCGAGUUGUGAUAGGUUACGGUGUGGAAUAGAUUGAAUUUAACUUUUAAAAAUUCCGAAUUGUACAUAAAAUAAGCUGAUUUAUAAUAAAAUGCUGUUUUUGGCUGUAGCAUUUUAGUAAAUGUUGGCUAAUAUCUACACCUAGGUCUAGAACUGGAUCCACCGAUUAUGGCCGCUGACCUUGUGGGUAGAGCCCAGAAUGCGGACCGCUCAAUGAAGGAAGGAAUUUCCGUCGGUCAGUGCAGUUUGUGUCAGAGCAGAAGUGUGGAAGUCUGAUAACUGUUGUCUUGUGACUGCUGUGUUAACAACAUGCCACCUGUUCCUUGAAAUCUCCUUCCUGGUCAUUGAUAACGCCUCGUACCACAACACUCAGACAGACAGACAAACCACCGACGUCUUAAUCAAAGAAGGACGAAAUGAAAGCCUGGCUAUUGGAAAGAAACAUUCCAUUUUGUGACAACGCGAUGAAAGCUCAACUUUAUGAUUUAAUCAAAUUAAAUAAAUCAAAGCACAAAUAUCAUGUGAUUGAUCAGAUUUUAGCAGACAAAGAACUGAGACUUCCGCCAUACGAUCUCGAUUUAAACCCCACUGAACUUAUUUGGGUAGAUUUAAAACAAAGGGUUGCAAGCAAGAACACGACAUUUAAAAUUAAGGACGUCGAGCAUCUUUGUCGCCAGAGAUUCGAAGAAAUUGGGCAAGAGGAAUGGGAGAAUGUUUGUCGUCACGUGGAGAAACUAGAACAAAUUUGUUAUGAGCGAGAAGGCGUAAUCGAAGACGCCAUUGAACGAA
This is a non-coding RNA of Zootermopsis nevadensis, 1172 nucleotides long. The record is from RefSeq and is a predicted model, not a curated record. NCBI's taxonomy places the organism in Eukaryota, Metazoa, Arthropoda, Insecta, Blattodea, Termopsidae.